ACUUAAUUACGAACACCUGACCUGCAGUGCAGCAGAAUUCAGAGGUAAGCGUGUUUUUAGAUGCUUUAAAGUUUUAUUUACCCCCCGAUUUUGUUUUACACACAUCUUAAAUGUGACUUGGUGUAGUGUUUCGAAUUUUGAAGCAUUUAAAACUUUCCAGUUUGUUUUUAGUCUUGUUUGCGCUCCGGUGACGCAGCUAACCUCGAGGUAAUGUCACAUGUUUAACGUUAGUCUAAAUGAGCGUUUUUAUGGCAAAUUCAAAGCGAUAAACUCCAAACGCAGUUUAAAGUUACUGAGCAACGUUAUAAAACAAUAUCCAUUUUAUACGCUGUAUUAUUAGUGUUAUUAUUACAAAGUGAACUGCUGUCGUUUCACUGUUGUUGUUGUUUUUGCUUUUAGACAUGUAACUUACUCCAGAGACUCACUAACUUGCACAGCAUUGAAUGGAAAAGGCUUUGUCCAUGUCCAGUUGAGGGGCAUCAAGAACACGCAGAUAGCCUACCUGGACAGACUGCAGUUCUGCUACUCCAUGCCAAGGCUUUUGUAUGGAUGUCUGACUACUACUGUGUUCUCUAAAGGUUUUCUGGAAGCUCCAGUUGAGGGCGUCAAGGACAAACCGAUGGCCUAAACAAGUGUCAGCCUGGACAGACAGACAGACAUCUAUUGCAGUUCUGCUACACAAGACCAAACUCUCUGCUUUUGUAUGGAUGUCUGACUAGUACGGUGUUCUCUGAAGGUAUUACUGGAGCAAAACGACAGCACCCGUUACAGUGAAAUUUGUGUUCAUUAAAGAUAGUGAUAUGUGUAACAGGUCCAGUAAAUUUGUCAUAAAGGUUAAAUCACAGUAAGUACUGUAAAAAUAACUUGUUUGCCUUUGCCACAACAGGUCAUGGUGUGUGCUUACUGCUUGUAGUAAACAC
Molecule: non-coding RNA, 920 nt
Organism: Danio rerio (zebrafish)
Lineage: Eukaryota; Metazoa; Chordata; Actinopteri; Cypriniformes; Danionidae
Source: Ensembl